Molecule: ribosomal RNA, 609 nt
Filed under: uncultured bacterium
Lineage: Bacteria
Description: bacterial SSU rRNA
Rfam family: Bacterial small subunit ribosomal RNA
Source: RNAcentral
CCUACGGGAGGCAGCAGUAGGGAAUAUUGGGCAAUGGGCGAGAGCCUGACCCAGCCAUGCCGCGUGCCGGAUGAAGGCCUUCUGGGUUGUAAACGGCUUUUCUCAGGGAAGAAAAAGCCCAUGCGUGGGACACUGACGGUACCUGAGGAAUAAGCACCGGCUAACUCCGUGCCAGCAGCCGCGGUAAUACGGAGGGUGCAAGCGUUGUCCGGAUUUAUUGGGUUUAAAGGGUGCGUAGGCGGCCCGUUAAGUCCGGGGUGAAAGCCCACAGCUCAACUGUGGAACUGCCCUGGAUACUGGCGGGCUUGAGUCCAGACGAGGUUGGCGGAAUGGAUGGUGUAGCGGUGAAAUGCAUAGAUACCAUCCAGAACCCCGAUUGCGUAGGCAGCUGACUAGGCUGGUACUGACGCUGAGGCACGAAAGCGUGGGGAGCGAACAGGAUUAGAUACCCUGGUAGUCCACGCCGUAAACGAUGGAUACUCGCUGGUGGCGAUAGACAGUCACUGGCUUAGCGAAAGCGGUAAGUAUCCACCUGGGGAGUACGCUCGCAAGAGUGAAACUCAAAUGAAUUGACGGCUGAGACGNGACGAGACGACGACGAGGAGGAGG